GACGAACGCUGGCGGCGUGCUUAACACAUGCAAGUCGAGCGGUGAACCUCUUCGCAGGGUAUCCUUGGCGAACGGGUGAGUAACACAUGGGCAACCUGCCCCCGGCUCUGGGAUACCUCCAAGAAAUCGGGGCUCCUACCGGAAGUUCACCGCUUCCCGCAUGGGUGGUGGUGGAAAGGGUUUCCGGCUGGGGAUGGGCCCGCGGCCUAUCAGCUUGUUGGCGGGGUAGUGGCCUUCAAAGGCGACGACGGGUAGCCGGCCUGGGAGGGUGACCGUCCACACUGGGACUGAGACACGGACCAGACUCCUACGGGCGGCAGCAGUGGGGAAUAUUGCGCAAUGGGCGGAAGCCUGACGCAGCGACGCCGCGUGGGGGAUGACGGCCUUCGGGUGGUAAACAUAUUUCAGCAGGGACGAAGCGAAAGUGACGGUACCUGCAGAAGAAGCACCGGCCAACUACGUG
RNAcentral lists this ribosomal RNA (463 nucleotides) under uncultured bacterium. RNAcentral describes it as "partial 16S ribosomal RNA". It matches the Rfam family "Bacterial small subunit ribosomal RNA", at positions 28 to 507 of the family's 1533-position model. The record is from RNAcentral.